This 446-nucleotide ribosomal RNA is filed under the name uncultured bacterium. RNAcentral's name for it is "partial 16S ribosomal RNA". It matches the Rfam family "Bacterial small subunit ribosomal RNA", at positions 329 to 792 of the family's 1533-position model. The record is from RNAcentral.
CACCAGACUCCUACGGGAGGCAGCAGUGGGGAAUAUUGCACAAUGGGGGAAACCCUGAUGCAGCGACGCCGCGUGAGUGAAGAAGUAUUUCGGUAUGUAAAGCUCUAUCAGCAGGAAAGAAAAUGACGGUACCUGACUAAGAAGCCCCGGCUAACUACGUGCCAGCAGCCGCGGUAAUACGUAGGGGGCAAGCGUUAUCCGGAUUUACUGGGUGUAAAGGGAGCGUAGACGGUGAAGCAAGUCUGAAGUGAAAGGCGGGGGCUCAACCCCCGGACUGCUUUGGAAACUGUGCAGCUAGAGUGCAGGAGAGGCAGGCGGAAUUCCUAGUGUAGCGGUGAAAUGCGUAGAUAUUAGGAGGAACACCGGUGGCGAAGGCGGCCUGCUGGACUGUAACUGACGUUGAGGCUCGAAAGCGUGGGGAGCAAACAGGAUUAGAUACCCGAGUA